RNAcentral lists this non-coding RNA (28 nucleotides) under Rattus norvegicus (Norway rat). Lineage: Eukaryota; Metazoa; Chordata; Mammalia; Rodentia; Muridae. The record is from RNAcentral.
UACAGUAAUAUCUGUUGAGAGAGCUUUC